Molecule: transfer RNA, 59 nt
Filed under: Sutterella wadsworthensis
Lineage: Bacteria; Pseudomonadati; Pseudomonadota; Betaproteobacteria; Burkholderiales; Sutterellaceae
Description: tRNA-Leu
Rfam family: tRNA
About the family: Transfer RNA (tRNA) molecules are approximately 80 nucleotides in length. Their secondary structure includes four short double-helical elements and three loops (D, anti-codon, and T loops).
Source: RNAcentral
GGUAGCUCGUCGGGCUCAUAACCCGAAGGUCGGAGGUUCAAAUCCUUCUCCCGCAACCA